Molecule: ribosomal RNA, 484 nt
Filed under: uncultured bacterium
Lineage: Bacteria
Description: bacterial SSU rRNA
Rfam family: Bacterial small subunit ribosomal RNA
Source: RNAcentral
AAUCAACGCUGGCGGCGUGCCUCAGACAUGCAAGUCGAACGAUUAAAGCUCUCUUCGGAGAGUGUAUAGAGUGGCGCACGGGUGAGUAACACGUAAGUAAUCUACCUUUGAGUGGGGAAUAACAAUCGGAAACGGUUGCUAAUACCGCAUAAUGCAGCGGCAUCGCAAGAUGACAGUUGUUAAAGGAGCAAUCCGCUUAAAGAGGAGCUUGCGGCAGAUUAGCUAGUUGGUAAGGUAACGGCUUACCAAGGCUACGAUCUGUAUCCGGUCUAAGAGGACGGUCGGACACACUGACACUGAAUAACGGGUCAGACUCCUACGGGAGGCAGCAGUCGGGAAUUUUGGGCAAUGGGCGAAAGCCUGACCCAGCAACGCCGCGUGAAGGAUGAAGUAUUUCGGUAUGUAAACUUCGAAAGAAUAGGAAGAAUAAAUGACGGUACUAUUUAUAAGGUCCGGCUAACUACGUGCCAGCAGCCGCUGUAAC